CGGCWGGCUUAACACAUGCAAGUCGAACGCCCCGCAAGGGGAGUGGCAGACGGGUGAGUAACGCGUGGGAACAUACCCUUUCCUGCGGAAUAGCUCCGGGAAACUGGAAUUAAUACCGCAUACGCCCUACGGGGGAAAGAUUUAUCGGGGAAGGAUUGGCCCGCGUUGGAUUAGCUAGUUGGUGGGGUAAAGGCCUACCAAGGCGACCAUCCAUAGCUGGUCUGAGAGGAUGAUCARCCACAUUGGGACUGAGACACGGCCCAAACUCCUACGGGAGGCAGCAGUGGGGGAAUAUUUGACAAUGGGGCCAAGCCUGAUCCANCCAUGCCGCGUGAGUGAUGAARGCCUUAGGGUUGUAACAGCUCUUUCACCGAUGAAGAUAAUGACGGUAGUCGGAGAAGAAGCCCCGGCUAACUUCGUGCCAGCAGCCGCGGUAAUACGAAGGGGGCUAGCGUUGUUCGGAAUUACUGGGCGUAAAGCGCACGUAGGCGGAUAUUUAAAGUCAGGGGUGAAAUCCGCAGCUCAACUGCGGAACUGNCUUUGAUACUGGGUAUCUUGAGUAUGGAAGAGGUAAGUGGAAUUCCGAGUGUAGAGGUGAAAUUCGUAGAUAUUCGGAGGAACACCAGUGGCGAAGGCGGCUUACUGGUCCAUUACUGACGCUGAGGUGCGAAAGCGUGGGGAGCAAACAAGAUUAGAUACCCUGGUAGUCACGCCGUAAACGAUGAAUGUUACCGCCGGCAUAUACUGUUCGGUGG
RNAcentral lists this ribosomal RNA (755 nucleotides) under Agrobacterium sp. 0106 809. RNAcentral describes it as "bacterial SSU rRNA". It matches the Rfam family "Bacterial small subunit ribosomal RNA", at positions 40 to 847 of the family's 1533-position model. Lineage: Bacteria; Pseudomonadati; Pseudomonadota; Alphaproteobacteria; Hyphomicrobiales; Rhizobiaceae. The record is from RNAcentral.